GUCGAACGGGACAUGGGGCAACUGAGAAUCAGUGGCGGACUUUCGCGUAACACGUGAGGAACAUGACUUUCGGUGGGGGAUAGCCGGCCCAACGGCCGUUUCCUACCGCGUACGACCUUUCGGGGACAUCCCCGGUUGGUGAAAGCAGCCAUGCGCCGAAAGAGUGCCUCGCGGCCUAUCAGCUAGUUGGUGGGGUAAUGGCCCACCAAGGCGACGACGGGUAGCUGGUCUGAGAGGAUGGCCAGCCACAUUGGGACUGAGACACGGCCCAGACUCCUACGGGCAGGCAGCAGUGGG
Molecule: ribosomal RNA, 297 nt
Filed under: uncultured Gemmatimonas sp.
Lineage: Bacteria; Pseudomonadati; Gemmatimonadota; Gemmatimonadia; Gemmatimonadales; Gemmatimonadaceae
Description: partial 16S ribosomal RNA
Rfam family: Bacterial small subunit ribosomal RNA
Source: RNAcentral